Molecule: transfer RNA, 73 nt
Filed under: Operophtera brumata (winter moth)
Lineage: Eukaryota; Metazoa; Arthropoda; Insecta; Lepidoptera; Geometridae
Rfam family: tRNA
About the family: Transfer RNA (tRNA) molecules are approximately 80 nucleotides in length. Their secondary structure includes four short double-helical elements and three loops (D, anti-codon, and T loops). Further hydrogen bonds mediate the characteristic L-shaped molecular structure. tRNAs have two regions of fundamental functional importance: the anti-codon, which is responsible for specific mRNA codon recognition, and the 3' end, to which the tRNAs corresponding amino acid is attached (by aminoacyl-tRNA synthetases). tRNAs cope with the degeneracy of the genetic code in two manners: having more than one tRNA (with a specific anti-codon) for a particular amino acid; and 'wobble' base-pairing, i.e. permitting non-standard base-pairing at the 3rd anti-codon position.
Source: Rfam by way of RNAcentral
CGUUCUAUGGCCAAAUUAGUCAAGGCAUCGCCGAUCACAGGUGAAGAUGUGGGUUCGAGUCCCACUGGAACGG